GAAAUUAAACAAAUAGAAGCUUCCCGAAAAUAAAAGAUCUAGAAAUAAUAUUUGAUAUUGCACUGCUUUAUGAUAUACUGUUGCAUUAGUAUAUAAAAAUAUACUUCUAGGGGUGAAAGACCUUCACUUUUAUAGAUAUCUGGAUAAAUAUUAAAUAAAUUUAGUUUAUAAGAUAGUUACAGUGUGAUAAGAUAUUGUAAAAAGAAUUUGUAGCAAAUAUUUUAUUGGCCCUUAACUAUUACUUAGUGGCGUUUAAUUUAAUAAUAAUACUUUUGUAUUUAAAAUUUUCUAAUAAUAUUUUAUCAUACAAUAUAGCUAAAAGAUAGAUAAUGUACAAAUCAGUAAGCAUAAUAAAUUAGUUGAAGGAACUCGGCAAAAAAAUUAUACGACUGUUUAACAAAAACAUAGCCAGUAGAAAUUUUAUUAUUGGUGUGACCUGCCCAGUGAACUUUCAACGGCCGCAGUACCCUGACUGUGCAAAGGUAGCAUAAUCAUUUGGCUUUUAAUUGAAGUCUGGAAUGAAAGGAAAAACGUAUAAGAACUGUCUUCAAAUCUAAUUUUGUUUAAGUUACUAAAUAAGGUGAAAAUUCCUUCAUAAUAAUAAUAGACGAGAAGACCCUUAGAAUUUUAAGAAAACUACGGACUGUACAGUGGAUGAUUUUUGUUGGGGCAACAUUUUUUCAUAAAAUAAAAAUAUCCGUUAAAAUACAUGACGAAAGAGAUUAAUAAAGUAUAAAUUACCUAAGGGAUAACAGCAUAAUUUUAAGUAAAGAUUGUGACCUCGAUGUUGGACUAGGAACUAUUAAGGCUAAUCG
RNAcentral lists this ribosomal RNA (815 nucleotides) under Montenegrina helvola magna. RNAcentral describes it as "partial 16S ribosomal RNA". The stretch from base 346 to 594 matches the Rfam family "Archaeal large subunit ribosomal RNA", at positions 1787 to 2143 of the family's 2987-position model. Lineage: Eukaryota; Metazoa; Mollusca; Gastropoda; Stylommatophora; Clausiliidae. The record is from RNAcentral.